UGCAUGGUGGUACAGAUGGUAGAACUGUUGCCUUGCAACAAAAAGGUCCUGGGUUUAAAUCCCAGCCAGGGAUCUGUAUGCAA
This is a non-coding RNA of Ataeniobius toweri, 83 nucleotides long. Lineage: Eukaryota; Metazoa; Chordata; Actinopteri; Cyprinodontiformes; Goodeidae. The record is from the annotation of a GenBank genome assembly.